RNAcentral lists this unclassified non-coding RNA (3207 nucleotides) under Stylophora pistillata. RNAcentral describes it as "uncharacterized LOC111321429, transcript variant X3". The record is from RNAcentral. Lineage: Eukaryota; Metazoa; Cnidaria; Anthozoa; Scleractinia; Pocilloporidae.
AUUGAUGACUGAGACCGACCCAGUGAACAUAUCUGUAAGGUGAAGCUUGGCUCUCACUGGAGAGCAUGUGAGUUUAUGUGAUUAUCGUCAAAACAGCCGCCUUUCAGAAUAUGAUUUUGAAUUUGGAAAAUCUUCAGACCGAACUGUUCGAAAACCUCAUUCAGAGCGUUCAUGUUUAAUUCAACUGUUGAAUUUUAUGAUUGUCACGUGCAGUUCUUCAUGACAUUCAAAACAUUUCCUCUGGUAUAUCUUUCUUUGAACAAAGUUUCUGUCAAGUUUCUCAAGUAAAAUACUUCGUCUCCAGUAUUUUCCUUCUUUUCCUCAAAAGCCAACCGUCAGCUUCUCAGGGUUUGGAUCACAACUUCAAGUCACAGUUUCUCAAUUCACCCGGUGUCUUUCAACCAGCAACGUUUUCAAACGAACUUAGAGUUCCGGCUGUUAUUUUCGUCGCAAGAUACAACUUCGUGCGUUGAAUACAGUUCAAACAAUUCAUCCCAGUAUUUGUUGAUGUCGCGGAUGUCUUCAAAAUCCACUUUAUCAGAACGGUUGUUCACCUUUCUUGUCAGAAAUACAAGACCGGUGCUAAGAAGGUGCAAGUUAUUACGAUCAUGUACGUCUCCAAGUAGCAUGAGUGGGUUGUGUUUCCAAUCGAGCGCCUUCUCCUUGAUGCACUUAAUUGUCUUCUUCCAUCGACUGUCUUUCUUUUGCGGCAAUGGAACAAAAUAGUGCACCUCUUCCAGCUCAAGUGACCAUCGAACUUUUCUUGGCUUUUCUGAAAAAUCACCCUCCUGUUCUUGGCUUUGAAGUUCUUCAGCCUCUUGUUUUGAUAGCUCCAUUGUGGUUGUAAUCGUCUUUUCAAAUGAAAGUUUGCCAAGUAGAGUUUCAACUGUUAGGCGAUCACCGAGGAACUGAAUUUAUAUCAACACAAUCGAUCACUUUUAAAUGUAAGCAAAGCGGUUCAGCGUUCGAUCGUAGGACCGCUGCGUUACACAAAUCCUAUAGGCUGCUAAAAAUAAACAAUUCGAGUGGAUGGCUUUUUAAGACAGAUCAUUUGUUCUCGUCACAAACAUUGGACAAACAAAUUUUAAAAACAUGGACGGGGCCAUUGAGAGUUCUUCCUUUUCACCUGUUCGAUCACCGGAAGACAUCGCUGUAAUGACGUUAGCAUGGCGCCCACGAAUAAAGACAUGAAACUUAACAUGCACAAAUGAACUUUACAUUUUGACAUGACCGACAAAAAAAUAAUUUUUUAAGUUUUGUUGACGAAAUCUUACGGCUUAAAAUACCUGGCUUACUCACUUAAUACGAAUUUGCCCCUAAGAGAAUCAGCUUAAUUAUUGUUGCUGUGGUGCAUCGCUUUAAGUUUGCAUAAUUUUGAACAUUAAUUGGCGAUUGGCCUAUAACUCAUUUAUUUUUUGCAUAAGUGUACUGCCUAAACUGAAGUUUCUUGGAAACAGGGAAUAUUGUUAAAGAGCUCGUAAUAGUAAAUGUUAAUAACAAGUCUUAAUUCCUUACAGCUACCGAUCAAUUUCGAACUUUGAAAAGUCCUUUCAAGGACAGUCAUAUCUCAAUCUUGCUGUUAUACCUACAGUUGUAGUACUUUCAUUUCAGUUUAGAUUCCCAUCAGCACAGAAUACGUUUUGAAAACAAAGUCCGAAUAUCGUUGAACUUUCUGCCUUUUUUUGGAUGAAAAUAUCUCCUGACCAGGUUUUUAUUAUUUCUUCUUUGUGAAGUGUUUUCGUUAUGUUUACACGAUAUUCGUUCAACUAUCAGACAUUAUUUAUUCCUUAUUUCCAAGAAAUUUCGCCCGUUUUUUCCAUCGAACUCAAAACAAUUACAUCAUAGUUCUAUUUUAGAUGAUAUUUGUGCUAUUAUUUUUCUGGGUACAAAUUACAUCCUGCGGAAACUCCACAAAACGUCUCCAGAAAAUCAACCUCCUACAACCUGAGAUAAUUAAUUUUAAAUCGCCUUCCCUAUUCGUUAUUUAUAUGUGGCUAUAUUUUUAUCUCUCAAAAUGCUGGAAAGUGCAGGUUCCGUUGUUGUUAUAUUUUACGGUUCAGAGAAUUUCGUGGCUAUCUUGUGUUCAAAUUACUUGGAAUUUGUUUACAAAAAGACUAUAACGUUUUGCAAUUGGACCAGUGAAGAAAAGGAAUUGAUGGUAAUUGUAGAAUUCAACUUCCGCUAAAAAAGUUCAAUUUUAACCCUUCCUUUUUGACCAUAGAAUUUGUGGUAAGCAAUGCGUGUUGCUCUUGCUCUUGGCGUCAGCUAAAUUAUACCAUAACGAAAUAAUGCUAAAGGUCACUUCUGGUAAAUUAAUCGUAAAUUAAACGAGUUAUAAUGGCACAGGUUUAGCCAGCGUACUUUUGAAUCAAACAAUCCAACAAGUCUUAUUUCAUUAUUGAAGUAAAACAAUGAAAGGUAUUUUAUUGCUUUAGCUAGGGUCAGAUAAAUUAUGCCGGCAUAAUUUUGGGUGUAUAAAAGCUUUCAAAUAGUGAACAUCGUGCAUAAUGACUAAACUUUUUAAAAAUUUUAGUUGAUUCCUUCAACAAGACUGAUAGAGAUAAAAAUGUCAAAAGUGAACCUGCUUUUCUUGCUUGAGCCGGUUCAGUCCAGUGAAAUGAUAUGUUGACAAAAUUUCAUGUUGACAUGGUAGACAUGUAUUUUUAGGUUGGACAUAAUGAAAAAGUUUGAGCUUUAUUCAGUUUCGGCAUGAGGUCAUGUUUUAAGGAAUGACGCUCAAAAGUCUAGAGCUCAAAUUUAGAUUUUUUUAACAACAGAAAAAUUAUUUAAAUUGAAUAAUGUACAUCAUAUAUCUUAAACAACAUUACUGAAACACUUAGCGCUCUUUGAAUGAUCAAAACAUUUCUUUGUUGUGCAAGUUAGUUGCUGGGAAACUGACAGCUUCAAAUCUUUUUUAAAGAAAAUUUUUGUAAGCCUCAUUAUUCACACUGAAUUUUUCUGUUUUCUUCCAGCAUCCGACAUGUACUUUUACGCAGGUAAACUGAUAGGAUAGAAAAUACUGUCUGGUCCUAACUAAUAUGUAGUAUUGACGCGAUAAAGUGAAAAAUAACAACCUAAAACUUAGACUGUGAGUGACAGAAACUGUGGCCUUUAAAAAGAUGUAUUGAUAGUCUCCUUCAAAUAAAGUAAAAUCUAUCGCCAGGUUAUUGGAAUAUCUCUAAUUGUUUUCGAAUAAUAAUAAUAAUA